UACGUAGGGUGCAGGCGUUAAUCGGAAUUACUGGGCGUAAAGCGUGCGCAGGCGGUUUGCUAAGAGAGAUGUGAAAUCCCCGGGCUUAACCUGGGAACUGCGUUUCUAACUGGCAGGCUCGAGUGUGGCAGAGGGGGGUGGAAUUCCACGUGUAGCAGUGAAAUGCGUAGAGAUGUGGAGGAACACCGAUGGCGAAGGCAGCCCCCUGGGCUAACACUGACGCUCAUGCACGAAAGCGUGGGGAGCAAACAGG
RNAcentral lists this ribosomal RNA (253 nucleotides) under uncultured bacterium. RNAcentral describes it as "partial 16S ribosomal RNA". It matches the Rfam family "Bacterial small subunit ribosomal RNA", at positions 524 to 776 of the family's 1533-position model. The record is from RNAcentral.